AUGAUUUUGUGAAAAUAUUAAAUUCACUGUGUUUUAAUUAAUUGCCCUAGUUUUUAUUAAUUAUUAUAAAAGCCAUUAAGAAGCAGUUAUAUAAAAAAUGUCACAGGGUUAUUUAAAAAAAUAAAAACUUCCUCAAAUGAGAGAGAAGACAGAAUUUCAUAAAUAUAAUCCUUUUGUGAGUGGCCCAUACUUCUCUACAUGCAUGCUUUGAUGACCUGACCUCUAGUGUGACUGAAACUUUUGUGUUUCUGUGUAAAAAUUAAUAAAUGUUCAUUUUGUGUAUAACACAUUAUAAUGAGUAUUAACAUUAUUAUUAUAUUAGACUACUACAGUACACAACAUGAUAUGACACUUGACUGUGUAGUGUUAGUGUCUUUAUUAUCCUGUCUUCUUUUUAUAGUAUGGACUCACUCCUCUCAUAUGGGCAGCUGUUAAAGGUCACACACAUGUAGUGACAAUGCUCCUUGAAAAAGGAGCAGAUCUCACUGCCUCUGAUGAUUUUGGUAGGACUGCUCUUUAUUGUGCUGAACAAAGAGGUCAUUCUGAUACUGCCACCCAACUGAGAGUACACUCAGGUAAUGUAUUUAUUAGUUUAUUGAACUGAUGUUAUUAUACUGUAUGUAGUACUGUAUUGUUAGUAAAUUUUAUGAAACAGCUUGAGUCAUCAGCUACUGCUUCCUCCCUUACCAUGUGUACAAUUCAUUUAAAUGAUAAAAAUGUGUCACAUUAUUAUCUGUUGUCCAUUCCUUCCCUAUUGAUGUAUGAUGUAAGAUGUAGAGGGUGUGGCAUGAUGGUCAGUACAUGCUCCUUCAUAGUAAAUUGUAUGUGAUGUCACAUGUUAGUAUCAUUGUUUACCCAAUGACUGUAAAACAUUA
Molecule: long non-coding RNA, 875 nt
Organism: Amphimedon queenslandica
Lineage: Eukaryota; Metazoa; Porifera; Demospongiae; Haplosclerida; Niphatidae
Exons: 2
Source: RefSeq, a predicted model, not a curated record